RNAcentral lists this ribosomal RNA (693 nucleotides) under Taeniurops meyeni (blotched fantail ray). Its description in RNAcentral is "Taeniura meyeni (blotched fantail ray) partial small subunit ribosomal RNA". The record is from RNAcentral. Lineage: Eukaryota; Metazoa; Chordata; Chondrichthyes; Myliobatiformes; Dasyatidae.
AAAGAUAUCGGCACCCUUUAUUUAGUCUUUGGUGCAUGAGCAGGGAUAGUGGGUACUGGCCUCAGUCUAUUAAUUCGGACCGAACUAAGCCAACCAGGCGCAUUAUUGGGUGAUGACCAAAUCUACAAUGUAAUUGUCACCGCCCACGCCUUUGUAAUAAUCUUCUUCAUAGUUAUACCAAUCAUAAUCGGAGGCUUUGGUAACUGACUGGUACCCUUAAUAAUUGCUGCUCCAGACAUGGCCUUUCCACGCCUGAAUAACAUAAGUUUUUGACUCCUUCCCCCAUCCUUCCUUCUACUACUAGCCUCAGCAGGAGUAGAAGCCGGAGCCGGCACGGGAUGAACAGUCUACCCUCCAUUAGCUGGCAAUCUUGCACACGCCGGAGCUUCCGUAGACCUUGCCAUCUUUUCUCUCCAUUUAGCCGGUAUCUCCUCUAUUCUAGCAUCAAUUAACUUCAUCACAACAAUCAUUAACAUGAAGUCCCCCGCAAUCUCCCAAUACCAAACACCCCUCUUCGUUUGAUCUAUUCUCAUUACAACAGUCCUCCUCUUGCUAUCGCUCCCAGUCCUAGCAGCAGGCAUUACUAUACUUCUCACAGAUCGUAAUCUUAACACAACCUUCUUCGACCCAGCAGGUGGAGGAGAUCCUAUUCUCUACCAACAUCUCUUCUGAUUCUUCGGUCCCCCUGAAGUA